Molecule: transfer-messenger RNA, 403 nt
Filed under: Candidatus Saccharimonadota bacterium
Lineage: Bacteria; Candidatus Saccharimonadota
Also listed under: 1 other name
Rfam family: transfer-messenger RNA
About the family: Bacterial tmRNA, also known as 10Sa RNA or SsrA, is named for its dual tRNA and mRNA-like properties. Its role is to liberate the mRNA from a stalled ribosome.
Source: RNAcentral
GGGGCUGAUAUAGCUUUCGACACAUGGACAUUAACAGGAUAUUCGGCAGGUCGAAUCAUGCACGUAAUGCAUUUACCUAACUGCAAAAACAACCUUUGCAAACGCACUUGCAAACAUUAAGAGCGCUUUCGCUCCUAAGUUGGCAUUUGCGCCAAUCGCCGCUUAGUAUAUGGCGAUCAUUCCCGUGCCCCGGCGACAUGGGUACGGUGAGUGUUAUAUAGCCGUCGCUUACCGUGUGUGUGCGAAGCGGCCAUACAUACGGGACAAUGUGCCGCGUAACGUCGGCGGGUAUUUUGGGCUAUUUAUCAGCCCGCACCGUUAUAAACAAUCCAAAUAGUCCUAUGCCUGUAGAUGAAUAUUCGUUACCAUGUGGACCGGGGGGCAGUACCCCGCAGCUCCACCA